GUUUAGAGGCAGCUUCUCUCAGGGGUGAUGAAUAGCACAUGAUUCUUAAUACCACAGAACAUACCCCUGAAAGUGGGGACUCUAAUGUCUAUUUUACCACUAUUUUUAAAAAAUACUUGAUAUCAAAGAAUCCUAUUGUGAGACGUAUUACUGCUUUCAUUUAACAAUUUUAAUAUUUAACCUCUAAUUCGUUCUCAUGCAGUAGGAAAAAUCCUUUCUGGCCCUCUUCAUUGCAGAAUUUCUUCUUAUUACCAGCCUGUUCUUUACUGAAGGCCUGGGGGUUUCGAUUUGAGGCCGUGGAGACCCAAGCUGUCUGCUGUGAUUGAGAAACAUGUCAGGUAUUAGCUGGUAUUAGCUUAGAACACCACGAGCUCGUAACAGCAAAUUCUUAAUCACAUUUUCGUGGAAGCAUUCUUGAUUGUAGAAACUGACUCAAAAAGUAAUAAUUCCUUUUCUCCGUUUAUUUUUAUUAAGCUUUGUUGACCUAUGUAAGGGUUAUAGGCGAGGAGAGGGUGUAUGGGGAUUAGAAAGAUUAGUCAGUCAGCUGCCACUCCUAAAAAUAUCAGUGAUUUUUUUUCUUAAUCACAUAACUAACCUUCUGUCUGCGCAGAGCAAAUUCACACUAAGACCAAACCUAAAGGACGAGUUUUCCACUUUUUAGUACACUUGAAUAUAAAUACAGACAGAAGAAUAAUUAUAUAUGUUCAGAAUUGCUUAAAUCUCUAACAUUUUAACAUUUGAAAAAAUUUAAGAAUCCUUGUCCAGUAAUGUGCCUUGUGAUUAUUGACUCAAUGCAAAAUAAUAAACAUCUUAGUUGUUAAUUGUUUUAUAACCUGCCUUGCUUCACAAACUUACUUUAGGCAGGUUAGUAAGAUAUAUAAAAUAUAGAAGACGAAUGAAAGAGAAUGGUUAUCCAGAGGUGUUGGGUCAGAGAUGAAUAAGGAUAGAACCCUAAGGGGAUGCCAGGUAUCUGCGUGUUUUCUGGUAACCAAGCGAGAAGAAACAAGCUGCAGGAAGGGAGGGUGGGGGCGGAAGGCUGUCGGCAGACCUGUUCCACAGGCACAGCAAGACCCUGCAGGGACACCGAGGGCACAGCGGCGGCCAGGCCAGGCCAGGCCAGGCCCGGCCAGAAGCCCGAGCACUCUGGGCAGUGAGGAGCCCGUGGCCCAGGGACAGUGGCCCGGCCUCCGCAGUGUCCCCCUCACCCUGGGAGCAGGGUGGGCUCUUCCGACAGCUACAAGCGCUGGCCUGUAACACUGUCCAAGGCCUGAUGCUCACUCAGUUCACCAGCUGCAGGCAGUGUGUGUCAACUUCUUGCUACAAACAUGAAGAAAUCAGUCUCAAUCCUCAGUCCUCCUUUGUCUUCCCUUCCAAUUUUUAAAACUUUUUACCUUGAAAAGGCCUCUGACAUUCACGCUGCUAGAACAACCUCUUGUACCCUUUUGUGGGGUGGGCUUUAAGUAGGGGACCCAGCAUGACUGCCACGUUACUGGGACCAUGACACAUGCACAUUCACUUCAGGGCUUACCGGGGAGAGAAUCUCACGCUCUCAGAUGUUAAGCUUUGUUGGUAAGAAGGGAACCUUCUAAGCCUCCCAGACCAGCGCUCUUCCACUUUCACUUCUCAGUUGCUGCUAUUCCUUACAUCUUGCAUGCUUUCUUAAAUAUUACUUUCUUUUUGGGUUGUCUGAGUACUCUUUGCAUGUGGGGUCUGUGGGAGCCAGUCUUUUCUGAGGCUAGAAAGUCCGAGUUAGCUUUAUUUUGUCUCCAUACCUGUUUUAAAAGCUUAGAUCAAUAUAAACAUCCAAACUUUAAAGAUAUCAUCUCCAUUUUCUCCCUUCCCGCCCUCAUUGUAGGUGAGGGUCUUAUAGCAGUCUUGAUUCCCCUUUUGUUAAGGAUGAGGGUUUUUUCUUUCCCUGAAAUGUUUAGGAUUAUUUUUAAUCCUGUCAUUGUACAGUUCCACCACAGUGUUUCAGCUUCAGUCUUUUCCUACCACUCUAACGCUGCAUUUUGUGGAACCUUCCCGUGUGGGUUCCCGUGGAGAGGGAAUUUUCUCCACUUACCUCACUGCCUUCGCACUUCUACUUCACCUCCUGUGAGGUGGGUGCAGCCCUGCGGGACCUGACUCCACAUAUUAAAUUCUUUGUGUAAGGGCUUGCCACGCCUUAGCCCUUCCGUUCUCCAUCCUCACCAAGCGCUCUCUGUUUAUCUUUCAGAUUAAAAUCUCGGGCCUCCUCAGCACCAAAUUUUAAUUCCACCUUACCGUGCCUUCUUGAAGCAACACUUUCUAACUGCCAGGAGUUUUUUUCCUUCAGUAGUUCGGUUUUGCCUUUGAUGGACUGUUCUUGUUUUAAGUCUGUGAUGCCCCUCAUCUCAUGAAGGAUACCAGUAGAGGAUUUGUGGCUUUAAUUCUGUUUCGUGAUUGUGACUUUGUCCAUGUGCUCUGUGGCAGCUGCUUUGUCUCAGAGCUUUUCUUCCACGCCGUCAUUUGUCCUCAACUGCCCUCAGCUUGUUCUUCGUCCUGGUUAGAGUUCACACGUCUGAGCAGACGCCACUCGUGUCAGUGUGGGUGCCAUGUGGGUGUCCUGACUGGCUCCACCCCUGUCUCCCUCUCGGCUGCCUGCCCUGCACCGAGGGCUUUCUGGUGAGCUGGGCGGCCACACGCAGUGUGUUGUGACCACCCCUAAGGUCCAGAGUUCUAACAUACCUCUUGGGUCCGUUGUGUAAUUUUUCAUCAUAGUAGUAUUUGCCCUUAUGCUUGGGCACUUCUUUGGCUUUUUCAACUUGUCAUUAACCUGUUGUGAAGAACAUAUUUGUAUGUAUAAUUUGUUCAUGUAUUGCUGAUAACUUUCAUGAUGUUGAUUCCUAGAGUGAAAUGUAUGGGUUAUGAAAGGCAUUAAUAGCUGCUGCUAAAUUAUCUUUUGGAAGACCAUAACAAGUCUCAGUCUCACUUAAAAAUAUCCUUUAUCCUCACAUUUUGGAUGGCAGUGGAUAAUACCGCUCAUUUAAUAUGUCCUGCUGGCUUGAACCAGCAGGGGUACAUGUACAACAGUCCCUUCAGGCCGCUGGUACCACUGGUUGUACAGAUAGUAAGGCCACGCACAGGACAGUCGUGCAUGUGCCCCUGGUGGUCCAAGCCACCCAGCAGUGAGACAUGAGAACCAUGGCCCCAAUGUGAACGUAUUAAUAUUUGCCAAUUGACAUACAUAAUCGUUGCUGUUUGAAUCUGUUAAUGUGCACAGAUCUUCACAGAUCUCCUUUGCAGAUUAACUGUUGUCUUUCACUGUUUUGUGGCAGAUGGUCAUCAUUGUCUUUGCUUCGUGGGGCUCUUUUUUGGGAUUAUUAACCCUUUGUCAUAUAUGUUACGAAUUUUUUCCCAGUGUGUAGCCUGCCUUUCACUUUGGCAUGAUGUGUUUUUUUGCUGUGUGUAUGUGUUGGUGCCGUGUGUAUAAAGCCACCUGUUCACCUGUCCCAAGGCAAAAUUCCAUCUGGCUAGCUCAGUGUGUCUUGCAUUAUACUUUUAAGUCCAUAUAAUUGUUUGCAAACAUGAUUUGAGUAAGGAUAUGUCUUUGUUUUUUUCUGACAUAACCAGCCAACUAGUCUCUUUAAAUUGGCUGAUCAUCUUUUCUUCUCAAUUUGAUAUUUCAGCAUUGCCAUAUGCUACACAUUUAUAUGCAUGUAUACGUGUGUGUGACUGCCUAAAUUAACACCACGGAAUUUCAGGAAUUCUGGAGAUUUCCUAACUAGACCACUCUUACUUCACUGUUCCUAGAAAACACUGCAGUGCAAUACCUCAACUUCUAUAUUAAAAUCUCAUCCAGUACUUGCUUGUUAACCUAAUUCUUAGGAAUUAAAAGACCUCCAAAAUACUUGUCUCAUGAGAGUAUUUUAUUACCAACCAGUUUUCUUUAUUGUUUUUGUCCACUCAUAGCCUGCCAGGAGUAAAGACAACAGUGGUACCUAGGAAUCAAACACCAUUCCAAGAAUAGACUGGCUUCAGAGAUAGGAAAGCUGAAUCUGCUUGUUUUGUAGUAGGGAGAAAUAUUAGUUAACAUUGGAAAAUAAGGCAAAUAACAGUGUUUGAGGUUCAGAAAAGCAAUUAGCAUGCUAAGUUAGCAGCAUCCAGUUACUGUCUUGUAUGUAUGGAUUUUAAAAUAGGUAAACUUGACAGCACUUCUUGUGAACUAAGUACCACAUCACUGGGACAGUCCCCCCUGUGGAAUUACGCGGUGUCUCCUGCCACACAGCUGGUUAAGACUCCAUUUCUCCAGAUAUGAAAGGUCCGUUACAGUGCUGUAGGGCACGCGUAAAUUGUGUGCGCUGCCGUGAACUACUGAAACAAACAGAAUCAAUAAAGGGAUUUGGCAAGAAUGUGGUUACCAGCAUUGCAUGGCCUUAAGUGAGUCUUACCUGAUCAUGACAGUAAUAAUAAUACAGUUGUAAAUCAUGUAAUAAUAAUAAUAGUAAUAAUAGCAAUAAUAAUACAGUUGUAAAUCAUGUAUUGUGCUAAUACAUCUGUAAAUCAUUGCUGCCUCUAGUGCUCUAGGAGAAAUUUCAGGGAGUUGGGACAUGUGGUCCCAGACCUUCUCUUAGGAGUCCACCAUGUGGUCUAAUGGUAAAGGACCAAGAAGUCCUGCUGGAGAGAAGCCCCUGGGUCUGGGGGACCCAUUCCUGGCAUCUUGAAACUGUUCACACGGGAACCUCUGUUACCUGCUGUCCAUGGUUACUAAGCAUCUAGCUUUAGUAAGAAGUGAUAUGUGCAGGGAGCUAUUUUGCACAUGGUACUUUAAUUUGUGAUAACAAUAUGGAGUUUUGUUAAGAAAAAUACCCUUAAUUUUACAAGAUCCUUUUGCUCAUGGAGUUUUCAGAAUAGCAACACAGAAAAGUAUUGUUUUGUCCUGUGAAUCCUGACUUGGUUUGGAAUCAAUCACUGGCCAGAAAAAAGCAGAAAGUUUUCAACUUUUCUAGACUUCUGUCCAGUACCUCUAUUGAGAUUCUAUUGAGAUUGUUUCUACAAGGGGCAAUUUAAUAUUGGGAACUCUUUACAUCCAAUGCAUGUUUUCAUUUAUUUAUUAUAAUUUCAGCAGUGGUGAGCUUAGGUGCAUAUAACAACUGUAGAAUCAGUAGUGAUCUUUUGUAUUUAUUGCUCAUAAAAUAAGCCUUGGCUUUGCAGUUGCAGAGAGGCCAGAGGAAGGUCAGGGUGUUUCUUCUUACCGUAGGAUGGGCGCUGCGGACAGUAUAUACCAAGGACGGAGCACCUUUAUGGAGGAGCUGACGGACACGGCAGAGAUCAUCCGGAAGGCAACGCCGAGGUCCCUGGUGAUCCUGGAUGAACUGGGGCGAGGCACGAGCACACACGAUGGGAUCGCCAUCGCGUACGCCCACCCUGGAGUAUUUUAUUAGAGACUGACUGAAGUGUCGCGUGCAGCCUGUGGGACACACGUCAUCCACUCACUUCGGGCCAUCCCCGACUGCCGAGACCUCUGCUGCGUGUAGAUGGUGAGCUCCUGGCCUCAUCCCGGGGCGCUGGUGUGUCCCGCAUGCCCGGCCACCUCCUUCGGGGCCACUGCUCCUUUGUGUUGGUGACUUAGGAGUGGGGACCAGAGCGGCUUGGCCCUGUGACACCAGCUUGGGUUGUGUGGAGGGCCGUGAUGUGGCCUCUCCUACACAAUACGGACUUGCUAUUUCCCUUUUUAAAGAUUUUAUUUAUUUGCAAAAGAUGCAGUUGGAGAAGUGUUUUAAUCAUCACAGAAGCCGCUUCUCGUGGGAGCGUCAGCAGAGCAUCAGUGUCCCCAGCACUCACUACAUCCUCACUUGGAACUUGAGUUUGGUGUCAUCGUCCCAGCGCUCUGGGAAGCUGAGACAGGAGGGUGCCAAGCCUGAGUCCAGCCUGGGCAGCUUAGCAGCUCAGCAAGCUGGGGUCUCAAAAUCAGAAACAGCUGGAGGUGUAGUACAGGGAAAGGUCCUGCAUUCAGUCCCAGCACCACACACACACACAUGCACACACAGUAGAGUGUCAGUCACUGUGACCGUCAUGAGUGACCCUGGAGCUGCGAAUGGUGACACCGCAGAUGGCACUGCUGCCCGUCCCAGGGGUGCCAGGCAGGGCUGUGGGGUCUUGGCUGGGUCCCCCAGGGUCAGCCGGCUGUCGGUGCCCACCCUUCCUGCCUCUGCGUCCCCAGGAGAGGAUGGAGCCCAGCAGCCACCCGAAGCUGCCGUCCACGGCUCAGCGCCCAGGUCGGAAUUCCUUCUAGAACCCUCUACACAAGGACCACAGAACCAAAUGUGUUACUUCUGUUUUUAUUGCCUCUGCUCUAAAGCAGGCUUUGGAUAGUCUAAAUGCUUCAGAAGAAGUUGCUACUUCUGGAUGACAUUGACCUUGGGGUGCAUCGUGAAAGGCUUAAGAAAACAAACUUCUUUUCUCAGAUCAGUUGACUACUCGUGUAAGUCAGUCUCUUGGGCCCUUUCUUAGGACUCAUCAGCCUAUGAGCCUUUUUUGUAACCAGUAUUACACUGAUUGGUUUGGGGUUUUUUCUUGUUACUGAUUUUUGUUUUUUGUUUUUACCUGGUGGUACUGGGACUGAACUCAGGGCUUUCACACUGAGCUACAUCCUUUUUUUCCAUUUUAUUUUUUAUUUUGAGAUAGAAUCUUACUAAAUUACCAAGUUGCCUAAACUGGGCUUCAAUGUGCGGUCCUCCUGCCUCAGCCUCCCGGAGUGCAGCCCAACCCCCAGCAGUACCGCCCUGUCGGGGUCGCUGCAGCUCUGUGGUGAGUGUUAAAGUUGGAAGUGACCAUCCCCCAGCUUUGUUCUUCAGUACUGGGCUGGCUAUUUUGGCUCUUGGGCCUCCACGUAGACGUCAGAUUCAUGUGCUGGCACCCACAAGAACCCCUGCUGGAAUUACGCGUGGUGUCGUGUUGCGUCUCUAGACCAAGACGGGAAAGGCAGCCAUCUGGCCAUUCUAGAGCCUUCCCGUGCAGUGACAUGGUUCCUCUUCUGGUUACUUAGCCCUCCUCUGGUUCAUUUCUUCAGAAUGACGUAGCUUUGUCAUAGAAACCUUGUCCAUAUUUUGUUAGAGUCAUACCUGAGGAUUUCAUUUUGGGCGUGCUAAGGUAACUGGUACUGCAUUUUUAUUUCAAAUUGUACUUCUCCACUGCUGGUAUAUAGGAAAGCAAGGACUUCCUUGUGUUGAUCUUGGAUCCUGCAGCCUUGCCGCGAUCACUUACAAUGUCACUAUCAUAGGAGACAGGGCAGGAGCGGACAGUGUUACGGGACAGCCAGGGAAGCCUGCUGCAUAAUCUGGAAGAGUAGUGACUCUCUUGGCUGUAACCAUGUUCUGGGUGCGUAGGCAGCUGCUUUUGUUCUUAGCAGACAGACUCUCAAGUCUUCAGGGAUAAAGUCUGCAAGUGACUCUCAAGAGGUUGAGGGAAAAAAUGUGUAUAAGUGUGUGUGUGUUUGGGGGGGGUGUCCACACAUGUAUGUGUGUGUAAAUGAGAGGGAAGAAGAAAGGGAAUAUGACAAGAUAUUAACUGCUGUGUUUGUUGUCUAGGUAAAGAGUAUGUGGUGCUCAUCGUAUUUUUCUUGACGCUUUUAAAAAAUUACAAAUGAUCUAAAAAGCCCGAGUGUUUCUUUCUUGCAGGUUUUGUGAAGGUGUGAAAUUUUAAGUUUUAAUUUAACAUUUAAAAAUAAAAGGCCACUUACCCUGUCUUGUUGCCGUAGGUAAAAUCCCUAACCCUGUUCGUCACCCAUUACCCACCGCUGUGCGAGCUGGAAAGGAGCUACCCGGGCCAGGUGGGGAAUUACCACAUGGGCUUCCUGGUGACCAAGGACGAAGGCCAGGCAGGUCCAGGUAGGCGAGGUCCUGGGCUGGCAGCGCGUGCCCGUGGUUGCCGGGGUUGUGCGAGUAGAAGCCCACUGCUCAUGCACAGUGUGGUGCCAGCCACAGGUAACACUGUUCGCACUCAUGUUCACACUUGCUCCACCCUCGGUCAGGAGGGAUGCACCCCUCUGCCAUCACCAAGUCCUGCCUGAGCUCCUUCUCCUGUCCAUCCCAGCAGAGCUCCGCUGGCCCCCUUUCUUUGUAAUAAGAAGCAGUGAUUUCCAAGCUAUAUACAAUAAAUUGCCCCCAAAAUACAGCACCCGAAACAAAGACCAUCUGUCACUAUUUCUGGGGGUCUGGAGUCAGGGGCAACUCGGCUGAGCCCCUGGGCAUCUCCCAAGGCUACAGUCAGGGUGCAGGGCAGGGGAGUGGGGCUGCCAGGCCCACCCACGCAGCACCUCCCCACCUGGCUGUGACCAGACCCCGGUGCCCACAGGGCCUCUUUUGAGAAUGGCCUGUGGCACAUGGCUGGCAAGGAAGGAAAAGGACCAGACAGAGAGCGCCAUGGUCUCCCCACACUGACCUCUCAUCCCCGUGUCACGUUCUGUUCCACGAGAAGGGAGUCCCUAGGCCCUCCCCACACUCAGAGGGCCGGAGGACCCCAGCCAGGCCCGUGGUGGCUGUCUCCAAGGCUGCCUGUCCUCCCCAUGGCAGCAGUCAUUGCGGUCCCUCAGGAAGGGGCCUGCCAGCUGCAGCGAGCCCCACAGAGGCCACACAGCCUGUUGAGCCCUUCACUGGGCGCAGUACCUGACACUGAAGCCCAGAGGAGAUGUGUGACUGGGUCCAUGGUUCAGGGGCCUCGGACCAUGCUGGGGCGGUUGGUUCUAAGGCAAGAACAAGGCAGAAGGCAGGGGGGAGCAAAGCCACUCACUUCCUGGGGGCCAGGACGGGGAGAGGGACCGGGUGGGAGACAGACCCUCCAGAGGGGGCUCAGUGACCACCUCUCCCCACCAGAGCCCCUCACAUUCAGCUGUGCAUCAGUGAUAGAUAACCCACUGAGCCGGGCAGCUUCCAGAGCCCCGCCUCUGAACACAUGAGGUGUCCUGGGGACAUUCUGCAUCCGACCAACAGCUCCACCCUUCUGACAGCUGGGGUGGGGAACAGAACAGCAACCCCUUCAGCAUGUAGAGCUCCUAGCCAGAACACUUCAUCACCCCCAAUGUUUUGUCUUUUUAUUUAAACUGUGUGCAACAUGUAACAUUUCCUUCUCUAUUUUAACAGGAAAAAUAAAUGCCAUUGUACCAUGUAUCAGAACCAUUCUGCUUUUGAUACAGAAGUUCAGUUCAAAUUGUGCAAUGAAUCAUUGUUAAAAACUGUCUUAAGUGAGCUAGAGGCCCUAAAUGCAAACGCAUUUUCAAAUCAGUAUUUGCCCUUUAUCUUGAUAUGCAAACCUGAACUGGCAGGUGGCAGGAACAAUAGGCUUCUUUCUCAGAGUGUAAAUUUUAAUAGAGUAAAAUUUUAAGAACGUUCAUGUCCUCUUUAGUCCUUGUAUUUCAGUUUUUGAUAUCCUUUCCCUUUUGUUCUGUCUUUCACAGGCAAAGAGGAAGUCCCUGAUUUUGUGACUUUUCUUUAUCAAAUAACCAGAGGAGUUGCAGCAAGGAGUUACGGCCUAAACGUGGCUAAGCUAGCAGAUGUUCCUGGAGAAGUCCUGAAGAAAGCAGCUCACAAGUCCAAGGAGCUGGAAGGGUUAAUAAACAUGAAAAGGAAAAGGCUGAAGUCUUUUUGAAAUUGUGGACAACACAUAGUACGGAAGACCUUCGAGAGUGGAUGGACGAGUUUGAAGUAGAAGAAACACAGACUUCUCUUCCUGAUGAGCCUGUGGACCGCUCUUUGGAAGAAACAGCGGAGAGUUAGAAACACCCACCACCGUCUAAAACAGGUGCCCAGCAGCGCCCAUCUGGCACAGGAGAGCACCGCAUCCCGGCCGCAGCGGUCCGUUUGGGAGAUGGAUUUCUUCCUUUUGUGAAGGAAACGAUGCUCAGGUUCCUUCCCCUCCGCCUUUUCAGAUAGCAAGGCUCCCUCUGUGACCGGAAAUCUCCUGGAUGGGGCUCCACAAGGUGACACCUCUUCGGUUAGUGCCUGUUCUGUUUGCACGAGAUAAUGUUAAAAGCCACCAAUUCUUCAUGUGCAGAAUAAUUUUUGAUAAAAAUAGAAUUAUGAAGCUCUUAGAAACUAGAGCCCAGUGCCCUGGAAGAAUAAAGUCAUAUGAAAUUUGCAGAGUUAGACGUGGUCGUAGUUUUAAGCAGUUUAAAUAAUGUUGAAUGGUGUGAUCUGUCCCUCUGUGGAGUAAUACUUAAUGCACACUUGCUUCAGACUUCUGUGCGUCCUGCUGAGUGCUGGUGUUCCCGAAGGCCAGGCAGUUGUUUUGCAGGUUGGUCCUGGAACCCAGGUCGCUGCCCCACAGAGUGGUGCGCAGGUCCUCCUGCCCUCUGCAGCCCACGGCCCCUGCGCGGUGCCCCCCUCCUGGUGAGGCUGGGGACGCAGCCGUGUCUCCGAGAUGUGCAUG
Molecule: long non-coding RNA, 10383 nt
Filed under: Heterocephalus glaber (naked mole-rat)
Lineage: Eukaryota; Metazoa; Chordata; Mammalia; Rodentia; Bathyergidae
Description: lncRNA (ENSHGLG00000046932.1)
Source: RNAcentral